UCACCUUAUAUUCCCAAGAUCUGAGUCUUGCUCUUUUCUCACACUGAGCUAACUACAGUAUGUCCACAAAUACAUCAGGCUCACCUGCUUCAGAAACUUUGAGCCCUCCUAGUCUUCUCCAGCCUUUUGGGCAUUUCUUUAUUCAAGUCUUGGUUCAAAUGUUACUUCUUUAAAGGGGCUUUUUUGGAGCCCUCAGUUUAAGGUAAUCCCCCAAACCCAGUAUGUUUAAGUUUUAUCACAAUGCCCUGUACAGUUUUUUUUGGGGGGAGGGGGGCAUACCAGGGAUUGAACUAAGGGGCACUCAAUUACUGAGCCACAUCCCCAGAUGGGAUCUCACUGAGUUGCAUAGCACCUUGCUGUUGCCGAGGCUGGCUUUGAACUCACAAUCCUCCUGAGCUGCUGGGAUUACAGGCAUAUGCCACUGUGCCCAGCUGCCCUGUUAAGUUUUUUAGAGAGGAGCAUAAUUAAUAGAAAUUUGUUUAAUUUGCUUCUCCCUGCCCUGUUUUUCCUCACUACACUAUAAAGUAGGGGCAGGACUUGGUUUGCUCACUGCUUUUUCUCAGUAUUGAGAACUGCCUGGCUUGUGAUAAGUGUUUAGUAAAGUGCUGAAAAUAGUGCAAAUGUCAAAAGGGUUGGAAGUCUCAGACACUAUUUUUUUAGUAGGAGGUAAUAUUUUCACUGUUGACGACAAACAAAAGAAAAGUGUAACAAAUCCAUAUUCCUGUCACCCCAACAUAAUCGUUUUCGUAUUUUGCAUUGUACAUAUUAUUAUCCAGCCCUCACCUGCAUGUUUACAUAAUCAUAAUUUAGGAUGAAUUGUGGAAUAAUAAAAACCUGACAUUUUCCUUAAGGCAAAUUCUACCCAACUGAACUCAAAUAGGUUUGUGACUGUACCUGUACUUCAUUUUGUUUGCUGUAAAAAUGCAAAGAUUUCAGAAGAGAAUCAAUUCUUGUAUUAGGUGAUGGGGUUAUGGACAUCCUUGUUACUUGUUGGCAUAUUCUUUAAUGAUCUUUAGGUUUUUACAGUAAAACAUUUCCAGAACCAAUGUAGUUUGUAGUGUGGUUAUAUUAACUUUGGUAUUGAACAUAGGUAAUGAAUGUAUUUGUAAAAUAUUUGUAAGCCCCUGCUAAGUGCAGAAGGAUUUCAGACGGGUAAUGUUGGUAAGACAGGUAUGCAAGCAACAAAGUAGAAAUGCUGAGGAGACAGAAAUGUCUUUACUAGAAACCAGAACUGCGUGUAUCAUAUAGUAACAAUAUUUCUUAUCUUAAAAGCAUUUCAUGACUACACAUGGAGUGAAAAGUUUAUCCCUGAAUAGUUUUGAAGAUAUUUCCUUUAAGUAUUCUCACAUUACUUUUGUUUACCGAAUAAGCAUUAAGUUUUUUAAAGUAAAAAUAGGCCAGGAAUCGGU
RNAcentral lists this long non-coding RNA (1409 nucleotides) under Marmota monax (woodchuck). The record is from RNAcentral. Lineage: Eukaryota; Metazoa; Chordata; Mammalia; Rodentia; Sciuridae.